This 496-nucleotide ribosomal RNA is filed under the name uncultured Sphingobacteriales bacterium. Its description in RNAcentral is "bacterial SSU rRNA". It matches the Rfam family "Bacterial small subunit ribosomal RNA", at positions 885 to 1382 of the family's 1533-position model. Lineage: Bacteria; Pseudomonadati; Bacteroidota; Sphingobacteriia; Sphingobacteriales. The record is from RNAcentral.
GCCAGCCCGCUCAGAAACUCAAAGGAAUUGACGGGGGCCGCACAAGCGGGGAGCAUGUGGUUUAAUUCGAUGAUACGCGAGGAACCUUACCUGGGCUCGAACGUAAGAUGACUGUAGGUGAAAGCUUACAUCUCUUCGGAGCAUUUUACGAGGUGCUGCAUGGUUGUCGUCAGCUCGUGCCGUGAGGUGUCGGGUUAAGUCCCAUAACGAGCGCAACCCUACCUUUAGUUGCCAUCAGGUAAUGCUGGGGACUCUAAAGGAACUGCCUACGCAAGUAGUGAGGAAGGCGGGGAUGACGUCAAAUCAGCACGGCCCUUACGUCCAGGGCUACACACGUGCUACAAUGGCCGAUACAGAGGGCAGCUACCUGGUGACAGGAUGCAAAUCUCCAAAGUCGGUCUCAGUUCGGAUCGGAGUCUGCAACCCGACUCCGUGAAGUUGGAUUCGCUAGUAAUCGCGCAUCAGCCAUGGCGCGGUGAAUACGUUCCCGGGCCUU